Molecule: non-coding RNA, 103 nt
Organism: Acanthosepion pharaonis
Lineage: Eukaryota; Metazoa; Mollusca; Cephalopoda; Sepiida; Sepiidae
Source: the annotation of a GenBank genome assembly
GCUAUAUCCCAUUGAAACACUGCUUCCCGUACGAUCUCCGAAGUUAAGCAACGUUGAGUUUGGUCAGUACAUAGAUGGGUGACUACUUGGGCAUACUCGAUGC